Non-coding RNA from Pelobates cultripes (western spadefoot toad), 652 nucleotides. The record is from the annotation of a GenBank genome assembly. NCBI's taxonomy places the organism in Eukaryota, Metazoa, Chordata, Amphibia, Anura, Pelobatidae.
UCUUAGUAGAAUUUCUCUUUUUCAAGCUUGGAUAUGUAUCCCAAAAAUGGUUACUGCAGGUAUGAGUAAAGAGAAUUGUGUGAAAAUAGAAAAGUUUUCAGAGUUCUGAAAUUUAAAGAAUUUCAAAGUUAAGUGUCAGUUGGAAAAGAUACAAAGAAUUAGGUGUGCCCAACUUUGGCUCCAGAUGUCAGAUCGUGGAUGUUAGCCCUCAUAUGUUAGGUGUGAGUCCAUCCUUAGAGAGUGUCUUUCUACCCUUUGUCCUUAAUUUAUAAAGGAGAGGUUCUCUAUAUGUCACUAGUGGAUUGUGACCAAUAGAGUAAGGUGGGCGUGUCUUCCCUACAGUAUAUCAUCUAGAUUUUGGUCAGUAGAUGGCACAAUUACAUCACAGAAAAUUCUUGUCAGGGAGUCCAUUUACCUUUUUGUAUAAUGGGUUAACUGAAUUUUGUGAUGCGUUUGACAUCACAAAGCCUAAUCUUUAUGAUGCCCGUCUAUCAAAGAGCUGUCACACUUCAAAGAGUUUUGGUUGUGUCUGCAAUUUUGGCUAUACAUUAGAUUUCUGACACGUCCUAAACUCUUCUUCACCUCUCUAUACAAUGAAACUUUGUAUCAGAUCCUUAAUAUUUAAAAAGUAAAAUUAAUUACUUAGUGUUAU